AUGGCGACCUUGCCGCUACCAUGCUGGGCACCGACGCCGAGCCCAUCACAGCCGCGGUGGGGUUCUUCAGCUGCCGCCCUCACAGGGAAGGUAGAGCAGCCGGAACCACCGGCCGCCGAGGUGGGAGGCGCCGUAGGUAGCCGCCGCGGAAUUCAUUCUGGGUUUGAUAGCAUUGAUCAUCGUGAUGGCCGCCUGGAGCACAUCCCUCGCGAUGGUGGCGUGUCCAUAACGUGGGAGGACGUGUGGGUGACGGCGGCGGACGGCGGGGCCACCAUUCUGCACGGCGUCAGCGGCAGCGCGAGACCCGGCCAAGUGCUGGCCAUCAUGGGACCCUCCGGGUGUGGCAAGACCACACUGCUCGACACCUUGGCCGGGAGACUGGACACGGACCUGAGAAGUAAAGGAGAUAUUCGGAUCAAUGGCCGGAGACAGAGGCUCGCCUUCGGAACCUCUGCGUAUGUGACGCAAGAGGAUGUGCUGAUGGCCACACUCACGGUGCGUGAAGCCAUUUACUACUCAGCACAGAUCCAACUGCCCGAUACCAUGCUGCUUUCUGAUAAGCUGGCCCGUGCUGAUGAAGCCAUCCAGGAGGGGCUCACCAGCGCGCUGGAGACGCGCAUGGGCGGGCGCACAACUAAGGGCAUCAGCGGCGGGCAGCGGAAGCGUCUGAGCAUCUGCCUUGAGAUCCUCACCCGGCCCCGGCUGCUAUUCCUGGACGAGCCUACCAGCGGGCUAGACAGCGCUGCCUCCUUCCAUGUGAUGAACCGCAUCGCCGACCUUGCCGCCAGGGAGUCCAUGACCACCGUCGCCGUAGUGCACCAGCCAUGCAGCGAGGUGUUCGAGAUCUUUCAUGGCCUCUGCUUGCUCGCCUGUGGACAGACCAUUUACUUUGGCCCAGCCACUAAUGCCAUCGAGUUCUUCACAUCAAAUGGCUACCCUUGCCCACCAAUGAGAAAUGUUGCAGAUCAUUUCUUGCGGACAAUAAACAGAGAUUUUGAAGAAAGUGGAGUAAUAACAAUAUCGUCCAAGCCAUCUCCAGCAGAUGAAGCAAUAGAUGUUUUGGUAAAUGCCUACAAAUCCUCCAAUACUUUUGAAAAUGCCAAAAAGGAAAUGCACGACAUAAAUGAAAUGGGCGGAGUGAUCAUCAGAAGAAACCAAGCCAGUUUCCUGACAAAGGUAUUUGUACUCACCAGAAGAUCGUUUGUGAACAUGUACAGAGAUGUCGGAUACUACUGGCUACGACUUGGCAUCUAUAUCUCAAUUGGUGUAUGCCUUGGUACCAUAUAUUACAAUUUUGGCUAUGGAUACGAUUCUAUUCGUUCUAGAUCAUCAAUGCUAAUGUUCACCGGUAGCCUUCUAACAUUCAUGGCAAUUGGAGGAUUCCCUUCCUUUGUGGAGGAAAUGAAGAUAUUCACGAGAGAGCGGCUAAAUGGCCAUUAUGGUGUGUCAGUAUUUGUGAUCUCCAAUUGGUUGUCAGCCACACCAUAUCUUGUCCUUCUUGCUUUAUUACCUGGUGCAAUAGCCUACUACCUGUCUGGUCUAAGGAGAAGAGUAGACCAGUUUGCAUAUUUUACGCUUGUGCUUUGUUCGUGCACAAUGCUAGUUGAAGGCCUUAUGAUGACCAUAGCUGCUAUCGUGCCAGAUUUUUUGAUGGGCAUCAUCACAGGUGCUGGAAUACAAGCUAUCAUGAUGCUCAACUCUGGGUUCUUCCAAAUACCUAGUAAACUGCCAAAGAUAGUAUGGAAGUACCCGAUGUUCUACAUCUCUUUCCACAAGUAUGCUCUUCAGGGAUUUUACAAGAAUGAAUUCAUGGGUUUGGUGCUCCAAAACAACCCAGGAGUUGGUGAGAAAACAAUAACUGGUGAACAAGUGAUAACUAAGUUAUUUGAGACAGAAAUGGGGCACUCAAAAUGGGUGGACUUUGCAGUGUUAUGUGGUAUGAUUGUAAUAUAUAGGUUGCUCUUUGUAGUGAUUAUUAAGGUUGUCGACAUGCUGAAGCCGAUAUCCAAGGGUGAAUCAUUUGGUUCUCCCACUAGAUGUAUUUGUGGCAUACAAAAGCCAUGUACCCGCUCUUAA
Molecule: ribosomal RNA, 2076 nt
Filed under: Triticum aestivum (bread wheat)
Lineage: Eukaryota; Viridiplantae; Streptophyta; Magnoliopsida; Poales; Poaceae
Description: partial small subunit ribosomal RNA
Source: RNAcentral